Molecule: long non-coding RNA, 630 nt
Organism: Passer domesticus (house sparrow)
Lineage: Eukaryota; Metazoa; Chordata; Aves; Passeriformes; Passeridae
Exons: 3
Source: RefSeq, a predicted model, not a curated record
GCAGGCGACGGGACAGGACGGGACAGAGCGGUGCUGUGAGGAGCCCCCACACAGCGCACUCGUUCGUGUCCGACCCGGAGCUUUUUCGAGGAAUUACUUCUAGACGUGACCUCAGGGCCAGACUGCAGGACUUGGCAUUUGCCUUGCAAUUUUCCUUUAUUUUAAUCUUUGACAUGGAGCAGAGACACUCAAGACUGCCCAAGCUGGCCUGGGUGGAGAAGGAGGAAAAAUACACUGAACCUGACCGAGAGGUAGAGAUUGAGGACAUUGAGCCAAUCCUGCUGCAGGAGGACACGUGUGUGACGGCAUCGGAUACUACUGGUGGGAAGGAAAACUGGGAAUGGCUCUGGCGGCUCCGCAAUCUCCACCAAGCUCAGCAUCCUGUCUGGAGAGCUCUACAACUCAGGACUACACAAAAUCACGUGGAAAACUCAAGGAACUCAGGCGCACAUGGGAAACAAAGUGAAUAAAGAUGGGCAAAACCAGCAAAGCAUGAACAGGAGGAGACUUCCAGCCCAUUCAGAAAGGAAAAGUAGGAUUCUCUUUGAAAAAAAUUCCAGUAGCAUUUUUAAAAAAACCUAAAAUCUUCCUAAAUAAAACCAAAAUUUUGGGCCCUCCCAGGCCCUGGUA